RNAcentral lists this ribosomal RNA (475 nucleotides) under uncultured bacterium. Its description in RNAcentral is "bacterial SSU rRNA". It matches the Rfam family "Bacterial small subunit ribosomal RNA", at positions 30 to 506 of the family's 1533-position model. The record is from RNAcentral.
AUUGAACGCUGGCGGCAUGCCUUACACAUGCAAGUCGAACGGCAGCACGGGAGCAAUCCUGGUGGCGAGUGGCGAACGGGUGAGUAAUAUAUCGGAACGUGCCCAGUCGUGGGGAUAACGUAGCGAAAGCUACGCUAAUACCGCAUACGAUCUAUGGAUGAAAGCGGGGGAUCGCAAGACCUCGCGCGAUUGGAGCGGCCGAUAUCAGAUUAGGUAGUUGGUGAGGUAAAGGCUCACCAAGCCGACGAUCUGUAGCUGGUCUGAGAGGACGACCAGCCACACUGGGACUGAGACACGGCCCAGACUCCUACGGGAGGCAGCAGUGAGGAAUAUUGGUCAAUGGGCGCAAGCCUGAACCAGCCAUGCCGCGUGCAGGAAGACGGUCCUAUGGAUUGUAAACUGCUUUAUACAGGAAGAAACCCUCCACGUGUGGGAGCUUGACGGUACUGUAGGAAUAAGCACCGGCUAACUACGU